This 574-nucleotide long non-coding RNA is filed under the name Homo sapiens (human). RNAcentral describes it as "HSALNT0367619". The record is from RNAcentral. Lineage: Eukaryota; Metazoa; Chordata; Mammalia; Primates; Hominidae.
AAUAUCCACUUGCAGACAUGACAAACAGAGUGUUUCCAAACUGCUCCAUCAAAAGAAAGGUUAAACUCUGUGAGUUGAACACACACAUCAAAAAGAAGUUUCUGUGAAUGAUUCUGUCUAGAUUUUAUACGAAGAUGUUUCCUUUUCUACCAUAGGCCUCAAAGCACUUGAAAUCUCCAGCUGCAAAUUCCACAAAAAGGGUGUUUAACAUCUGCUCUUCUAAAGGAAAGUUCCACUCUGUGAGUUGAAUACACACAGCAGAAAUAAGUUACUGAGAAUUCUUCUGUCUAACAUUAUAUGAAGAAAUUCCGUUUCCAACGAAGGCCACAAAGAGGUCCAAAUAUCCACUUGCAGACGUGACAAACAGAGUGUUUCCAAACUGCUCCAUCAAAAGAAAGUUUAAACUCUGUGAGUUGAACAGACACAUCACAAAGUAGUUUCUGUGAAUGAUUCUGUCUAGAUUUUAUACGAAGAUGUUUCCUUUUCUACCAUAGGCCUCAAAGCGCUUGAAAUCUCCACAUGGAAACUCCACAAAAAGAGUGUUUCAAAUCUGCUCUUUCUGAAGGAAGGUUCA